AAGUCUGACCUGCCCACUGAAUUUUAAAUGGCCGCAGUAUUUUAACUGUGCAAAGGUAGCMUAAUCAUUAGUCUUUUAAUUGAAGGCUGGUAUGAACGGUUGGACGAAGUAUACACUGUUUCAUGUAAAUUUAUAAUAGAAUUUUAUAUUUUAGUCAAAAAGCUAAAAUAAUAUUAAAAGACGAGAAGACCCUAUAAAUCUUUAUAUUUAAUAGAAUUUAAAUUUUUUGGAUUUAUUUUAUUUUUAUUAUAUUAGAUAUUUUGUUGGGGUGAUGUUAAAAUUUAAUAAACUUUUAAUUAUUUAAGAUCAUUUAUUUAUGAAUUAUUGAUCCAUUAUUAGUGAUUAUAAGAUUAAGUUACUUUAGGGAUAACAGCGUAAUUUUUUUGGAGAGUUCAUAUCGAUAAAAAAGUUUGCGACCUCGAUGUUGGAUUAAGAUAUAUUUUUAGGUGUAGUUGCUUAAAU
This 462-nucleotide ribosomal RNA is filed under the name Dacus impar. RNAcentral's name for it is "partial large subunit ribosomal RNA". The record is from RNAcentral. Lineage: Eukaryota; Metazoa; Arthropoda; Insecta; Diptera; Tephritidae.